ACGAACGCUGGCGGCGUGCUUAACACAUGCAAGUCGCACGGAAAGGCCCUGCUUUUGUGGGGUGCUCGAGUGGCGAACGGGUGAGUAACACGUGAGUAACCUGCCCUUGACUUUGGGAUAACUUCAGGAAACUGGGGCUAAUACCGGAUAGGAGCUCCUGCUGCAUGGUGGGGGUUGGAAAGUUUCGGCGGUUGGGGAUGGACUCGCGGCUUAUCAGCUUGUUGGUGGGGUAGUGGCUUACCAAGGCUUUGACGGGUAGCCGGCCUGAGAGGGUGGCCGGCCACAUUGGGACUGAGAUACGGCCCAGACUCCUACGGGAGGCAGCAGUGGGGAAUAUUGCACAAUGGGCGGAAGCCUGAUGCAGCAACGCCGCGUGCGGGAUGACGGCCUUCGGGUUGUAAACCGCUUUCGCCUGUGACGAAGCGUGAGUGACGGUAAUGGGUAAAGAAGCACCGGCUAACUACGUG
RNAcentral lists this ribosomal RNA (467 nucleotides) under uncultured bacterium. RNAcentral describes it as "partial 16S ribosomal RNA". It matches the Rfam family "Bacterial small subunit ribosomal RNA", at positions 29 to 507 of the family's 1533-position model. The record is from RNAcentral.